AAGAAGGUAUAAGUUAUUAUAAGAUAUAUAUUAACAAAUAUUGACAUAUUACGAGUAAAUAAUAUUUCUAAUCGAAUGCAAAAUUAAUUACAUAAUUCUUUCAUUGAAGUUCGAAAAUUGUAUCUAAUUUUCAAAAGUGAAAUUUGUUUUUAAUGAGUUAACCGUUGUAGGACCAAUACAGAUCCCCAAAAUCAUUUGAUAACAAACACAAAGGGACCAAUUGUGCACAAAAUAUAUAAUUCAUGGGUAACAUAUUGUAUGUGGUUAAUACGGAACACCUAGAUAACUGAAACAAGGACAAUGGGUGUAUUUUUGCAAGCAUCAUUUUGAAACUCAAUUUAGAUUAUCCAUAUUAAGAGGACAGAAAGAGGAUUUUAAUAUUAGAAACAAAAAAUUCCAACACUGAAUAUGGUCUCUAUCUGUUUGGUUUCAAAUUUCUAAUUCAUCAUGGG
This 452-nucleotide long non-coding RNA is filed under the name Mytilus galloprovincialis (Mediterranean mussel). Lineage: Eukaryota; Metazoa; Mollusca; Bivalvia; Mytilida; Mytilidae. The record is from RNAcentral.